This 253-nucleotide ribosomal RNA is filed under the name uncultured bacterium. RNAcentral's name for it is "partial 16S ribosomal RNA". It matches the Rfam family "Bacterial small subunit ribosomal RNA", at positions 524 to 776 of the family's 1533-position model. The record is from RNAcentral.
UACGGGGGGGGCAAGCGUUGUUCGGAGUUACUGGGCGUAAAGGGCGCGUAGGCGGCCUGCUAAGUCGGACGUGAAAUCCCUCGGCUCAACCGGGGAACUGCCUUCCAGACUGCUUUGCUUGAGGCCGGGAGAGGUGAGUGGAAUUCCCAGUGUAGCGGUGAAAUGCGUAGAUAUUGGGAGGAACACCAGUGGCGAAGGCGGCUCACUGGACCGGUUCUGACGCUGAGGCGCGAAAGCGUGGGGAGCAAACGGG